UCAGGUGGCCGCAGAGAAUAGGCCCAAGCGACUGUUUACCAAAAACAUAGGUUUCUGCUAAGUCGCAAGACGAUGUAUAGGAGCUGACGCCUGCCCGGUGCUGGAAGGUUAAGGGGAUCUGUUAGAGCAAUCGAAGCAGUGAACUUAAGCCCCAGUAAACGGCGGCCGUAACUAUAACGGUCCUAAGGUAGCGAAAUUCCUUGUCGGGUAAGUUCCGACCCGCACGAAAGGCGUAACGAUUUGGGCACUGUCUCAACAACAGACUCGGUGAAAUUGUAAUUCCGGUGAAGAUGCCGGAUACCUGCGACAGGACGGAAAGACCCCAUGGAGCUUUACUGUAGCUUGACAUUGGGUCUUGGUACUACAUGUACAGGAUAGGUGGGAGGCUUUGAAACCAGGACGACAGUUUUGGCGGAGCCAUCCUUGGGAUACCACCCUUGUAGUACUGGGACUCUAACCAUAGGCCAUGAAUCUGGUCUUGGGACACUGUCAGGUGGGCAGUUUGACUGGGGCGGUCGCCUCCCAAAAGG
RNAcentral lists this ribosomal RNA (530 nucleotides) under Clostridioides difficile. Its description in RNAcentral is "bacterial LSU rRNA". It matches the Rfam family "Bacterial large subunit ribosomal RNA", at positions 1769 to 2297 of the family's 2925-position model. Lineage: Bacteria; Bacillati; Bacillota; Clostridia; Peptostreptococcales; Peptostreptococcaceae. The record is from RNAcentral.